GACGAACGCUGGCGGCGUGCUUAACACAUGCAAGUCGAACGGUGAAGCGCCUUCCUUUUUGGUGGGUGUGGAUGAGUGGCGAACGGGUGAGUAACACGUGAGUAACCUGCCCCCUUCUUCUGGAUAACCGCAUGAAAGUGUGGCUAAUACGGGAUAUUCUGGGUCUGUCGCAUGAUGGGUCUGGGAAAGAUAUUGUUUCGGUGGGGGAUGGGCUCGCGGCCUAUCAGCUUGUUGGUGGGGUGAUGGCCUACCAAGGCGGUGACGGGUAGCCGGCCUGGGGGGUGGCACGCUCUAGCUGGGGCUGGGACACGGCCCGACCGCGACCGGGGGCAGGCGGGGGGGAGAGUUGCCAAUGGGGCGCAGGCCUGAUGGGGCGCGACCCCGUGGGGGAGGGGGGCCUUGGGUUGUGAACCUCUUUCGCCAGUGAAGCAGGCCUGCCUCGUUUGUGGGUGGGUUGACGGUAGCUGGAUAAGAAGCGCCGGCUAACUACGUG
This 493-nucleotide ribosomal RNA is filed under the name uncultured bacterium. Its description in RNAcentral is "partial 16S ribosomal RNA". It matches the Rfam family "Bacterial small subunit ribosomal RNA", at positions 28 to 507 of the family's 1533-position model. The record is from RNAcentral.